Molecule: ribosomal RNA, 425 nt
Filed under: uncultured bacterium
Lineage: Bacteria
Description: bacterial SSU rRNA
Rfam family: Bacterial small subunit ribosomal RNA
Source: RNAcentral
UCGGGAAUUUUGGGCAAUGGGCGCAAGCCUGACCCAGCAACGCCGCGUGGAGGAUGAAGUUUUUCGGAAUGUAAACUCCGUAAGAAUGGGAAGAAUAAGAGGGCGCUAACACCGCCCUCGAUGACGGUACCAUUCGUAAGCUCCGGCUAACUCCGUGCCAGCAGCCGCGGUAAUACGGGGGGAGCAAGCGUUGUUCGGAUUUACUGGGCGUAAAGGGCGCGUAGGCGGCGCAACAAGUCACUUGUGAAAUCUCCGGGCUUAACUCGGAGCGGCCAAGUGAUACUGUCGUGCUAGAGUGCGGAAGGGGCAACUGGAAUUCUCGGUGUAGCGGUGAAAUGCGUAGAUAUCGAGAGGAACACCUGCGGCGAAGGCGGGUUGCUGGGCCGACACUGACGCUGAGGCGCGAAAGCCAGGGGAGCGAACGG